Molecule: ribosomal RNA, 646 nt
Filed under: uncultured Bacteroidota bacterium
Lineage: Bacteria; Pseudomonadati; Bacteroidota
Description: bacterial SSU rRNA
Rfam family: Bacterial small subunit ribosomal RNA
Source: RNAcentral
CAAGGCAACGAUCAGUAGGGGUUCUGAGAGGAAGGUCCCCCACAUUGGAAUUGAGACACGGUCCAAACUCUACGGGAGGCAGCAGUGAGGAAUAUUGGUCAAUGGACGGAAGUCUGAACCAGCCAAGUAGCGUGCAGGAUGACGGCCCUAUGGGUUGUAAACUGCUCUUAUACGGGGAUAAAGUGAGCCACGUGUGGCUUAUUGCAGGUACCGUAUGAAUAAGGACCGGCUAAUUCCGUGCCAGCAGCCGCGGUAAUACGGAAGGUCCGGGCGUUAUCCGGAUUUAUUGGGUUUAAAGGGAGCGUAGGCCGUUUGUUAAGCGUGUUGUGAAAUGUCGGGGCUCAACCUGGGCAUUGCAGCGCGAACUGGCAGACUUGAGUGCGCGGGAAGUAGGCGGAAUUCGUCGUGUAGCGGUGAAAUGCUUAGAUAUGACGAAGAACUCCGAUUGCGAAGGCAGCCUGCUGUAGCGUAACUGACGCUGAAGCUCGAAAGCGUGGGUAUCGAACAGGAUUAGAUACCCUGGUAGUCCACGCGGUAAACGAUGGAUGCUCGCUGUUUGCGUCUGACGUAAGCGGCCAAGCGAAAGCGUUAAGCAUCCCACCUGGGGAGUACGCCGGCAACGGUGCAACUCAAAUGAAUUGACGGA